AGCGCAUACGGUGGAUGCCUUGGCAGUCAGAGGCGAUGAAAGACGUGGUAGCCUGCGAAAAGCUUCGGGGAGUCGGCAAACAGACUUUGAUCCGGAGAUGUCUGAAUGGGGGAACCCAGCCAUCAUAAGAUGGUUAUCUUGUACUGAAUACAUAGGUGCAAGAGGCGAACCAGGGGAACUGAAACAUCUAAGUACCCUGAGGAAAAGAAAUCAACCGAGAUUCCCUUAGUAGUGGCGAGCGAACGGGGACUAGCCCUUAAGCGGUUUUGAGAUUAGCGGAACGCUCUGGAAAGUGCGGCCAUAGUGGGUGAUAGCCCUGUACGCGAAAAUCUCUUUACCGUGAAAUCGAGUAGGACGGGGCACGAGAAACCUUGUCUGAAUAUGGGGGGACCAUCCUCCAAGGCUAAAUACUACUGACUGACCGAUAGUGAACUAGUACCGUGAGGGAAAGGCGAAAAGAACCCCGGAGAGGGGAGUGAAAUAGAUCCUGAAACCGUAUGCGUACAAGCAGUGGGAGCCCACUUUGUUGGGUGACUGCGUACCUUUUGUAUAAUGGGUCAGCGACUUAUUUUCAGUGGCGAGCUUAACCGAAUAGGGGAGGCGUAGCGAAAGCGAGUCUUAAUAGGGCGUCUAGUCGCUGGGAAUAGACCCGAAACCGGGCGAUCUAUCCAUGGGCAGGUUGAAGGUUGGGUAACACUAACUGGAGGACCGAACCGACUACCGUUGAAAAGUUAGCGGAUGACCUGUGGAUCGGAGUGAAAGGCUAAUCAAGCUCGGAGAUAGCUGGUUCUCCUCGAAAGCUAUUUAGGUAGCGCCUCAUGUAUCACUGUAGGGGGUAGAGCACUGUUUCGGCUAGGGGGUCAUCCCGACUUACCAAACCGAUGCAAACUCCGAAUACCUACAAGUGCCGAGCAUGGGAGACACACGGCGGGUGCUAACGUCCGUCGUGAAAAGGGAAACAACCCAGACCGUCAGCUAAGGUCCCAAAGUUAUGGUUAAGUGGGAAACGAUGUGGGAAGGCUUAGACAGCUAGGAGGUUGGCUUAGAAGCAGCCACCCUUUAAAGAAAGCGUAAUAGCUCACUAGUCGAGUCGGCCUGCGCGGAAGAUGUAACGGGGCUCAAACCAUACACCGAAGCUACGGGUAUCACUUAGGUGAUGCGGUAGAGGAGCGUUCUGUAAGCCUGUGAAGGUGAGUUGAGAAGCUUGCUGGAGGUAUCAGAAGUGCGAAUGCUGACAUGAGUAACGACAAUGGGUGUGAAAAACACCCACGCCGAAAGACCAAGGUUUCCUGCGCAACGUUAAUCGACGCAGGGUUAGUCGGUCCCUAAGGCGAGGCUGAAAAGCGUAGUCGAUGGAAAACAGGUUAAUAUUCCUGUACUUCUGGUUAUUGCGAUGGAGGGACGGAGAAGGCUAGGCCAGCUUGGCGUUGGUUGUCCAAGUUUAAGGUGGUAGGCUGGAAUCUUAGGUAAAUCCGGGAUUCUAAGGCCGAGAGCUGAUGACGAGUGUUCUUUUAGAACACGAAGUGGUUGAUGCCAUGCUUCCAAGAAAAGCUUCUAAGCUUCAGGUAACCAGGAACCGUACCCCAAACCGACACAGGUGGUUGGGUAGAGAAUACCAAGGCGCUUGAGAGAACUCGGGUGAAGGAACUAGGCAAAAUGGCACCGUAACUUCGGGAGAAGGUGCGCCGGUGAGGGUGAAGGACUUGCUCCGUAAGCUCAUGCCGGUCGAAGAUACCAGGCCGCUGCGACUGUUUAUUAAAAACACAGCACUCUGCAAACACGAAAGUGGACGUAUAGGGUGUGACGCCUGCCCGGUGCCGGAAGGUUAAUUGAUGGGGUUAGCUAACGCGAAGCUCUUGAUCGAAGCCCCGGUAAACGGCGGCCGUAACUAUAACGGUCCUAAGGUAGCGAAAUUCCUUGUCGGGUAAGUUCCGACCUGCACGAAUGGCGUAACGAUGGCGGCGCUGUCUCCACCCGAGACUCAGUGAAAUUGAAAUCGCUGUGAAGAUGCAGUGUAUCCGCGGCUAGACGGAAAGACCCCGUGAACCUUUACUAUAGCUUUGCACUGGACUUUGAAUUUGCUUGUGUAGGAUAGGUGGGAGGCUUUGAAGCGUGGACGCCAGUUCGCGUGGAGCCAACCUUGAAAUACCACCCUGGCAACUUUGAGGUUCUAACUCAGGUCCGUUAUCCGGAUCGAGGACAGUGUAUGGUGGGUAGUUUGACUGGGGCGGUCUCCUCCUAAAGAGUAACGGAGGAGUACGAAGGUGCGCUCAGACCGGUCGGAAAUCGGUCGUAGAGUAUAAAGGCAAAAGCGCGCUUGACUGCGAGACAGACACGUCGAGCAGGUACGAAAGUAGGUCUUAGUGAUCCGGUGGUUCUGUAUGGAAGGGCCAUCGCUCAACGGAUAAAAGGUACUCCGGGGAUAACAGGCUGAUACCGCCCAAGAGUUCAUAUCGACGGCGGUGUUUGGCACCUCGAUGUCGGCUCAUCACAUCCUGGGGCUGAAGCCGGUCCCAAGGGUAUGGCUGUUCGCCAUUUAAAGUGGUACGCGAGCUGGGUUUAGAACGUCGUGAGACAGUUCGGUCCCUAUCUGCCGUGGACGUUUGAGAUUUGAGAGGGGCUGCUCCUAGUACGAGAGGACCGGAGUGGACGAACCUCUGGUGUUCCGGUUGUCACGCCAGUGGCAUUGCCGGGUAGCUAUGUUCGGGAAAGAUAACCGCUGAAAGCAUCUAAGCGGGAAACUUGCCUCAAGAUGAGAUCUCACUGGAACCUUGA
RNAcentral lists this ribosomal RNA (2775 nucleotides) under Pseudomonas sp. Irchel 3E20. Its description in RNAcentral is "bacterial LSU rRNA". It matches the Rfam family "Bacterial large subunit ribosomal RNA". Lineage: Bacteria; Pseudomonadati; Pseudomonadota; Gammaproteobacteria; Pseudomonadales; Pseudomonadaceae. The record is from RNAcentral.